GCCGCGUGUCAAAAAAUGCUGACAUCGGGGCCGCACGGGAGGCCACGUGGGCAAUUUGCAUGCCCAGCAAUUCGAUGGCCUAAGUUCACUCCCGCACGCGUGAACAGCUUAUAUUCGUUUUCUCCUUAAGUGCGAUCAGACAGACGAGAUCAAUCACAAUGAACGGUUUAGAUUAGUUCCCUUCUUAGGCGCGAUUAAACGGACGAGAUCAAUCGCGAUGAACGAUCUAGAUCGAUGUGGGAUAGGUAUAAAUACCUUGCGUUGCAGGGGAACCCAAACCUUAGCCGCUAGCCCCCGCCGGAGAAGAAGAACCAGGUGCUGGAGAAGAAGGCCGACCACCGACUGCCAA
RNAcentral lists this long non-coding RNA (349 nucleotides) under Carica papaya (papaya). Its description in RNAcentral is "long non-coding RNA (CPAP_LNC009818)". The record is from RNAcentral. Lineage: Eukaryota; Viridiplantae; Streptophyta; Magnoliopsida; Brassicales; Caricaceae.